This 28-nucleotide transfer RNA is filed under the name Steno bredanensis (rough-toothed dolphin). RNAcentral describes it as "partial tRNA-Ser". The record is from RNAcentral. Lineage: Eukaryota; Metazoa; Chordata; Mammalia; Artiodactyla; Delphinidae.
UAGAGGGGGUUCGAUUCCUUCCUUUCUU